This 215-nucleotide ribosomal RNA is filed under the name Clostridioides difficile. RNAcentral describes it as "partial 23S ribosomal RNA". It matches the Rfam family "Bacterial large subunit ribosomal RNA", at positions 2601 to 2815 of the family's 2925-position model. Lineage: Bacteria; Bacillati; Bacillota; Clostridia; Peptostreptococcales; Peptostreptococcaceae. The record is from RNAcentral.
CGAGCUGGGUUCAGAACGUCGUGAGACAGUUCGGUCCCUAUCCGUCGCAGGCGUAGGAAAUUUGAGAAGACCUGUCCUUAGUACGAGAGGACCGGGAUGGACGUAUCUCUGGUGUACCAGUUGUCCUGCCAAGGGCAUGGCUGGGUAGCUAUGUACGGAAUGGAUAAGCGCUGAAAGCAUCUAAGCGCGAAGCCAACUUCAAGAUAAGAUUUCCC